GAGCGUUGUUCGGAAUUACUGGGCGUAAAGGGCGCGCAGGCGGCCUGGGAAGUCUUGGGUGAAAGCCCCCAGCUCAACUGGGGAAUGGCCUGAGAAACCACUAGGCUGGAGUGCUGGAGAGGGAAGCGGAAUUCCCGGUGGAGCGGUGAAAUGCGUAGAUAUCGGGAGGAACACCAGAGGCGAAGGCGGCUUCCUGGACAGACACUGACGCUGAGGCGCGAAAGCUAGGGGAGCAAACGGGAUUAGAUACCCCGGUAGUCCUAGCUGUAAACGAUGGGUACUAGAUGUGGGGGGUAAUUGAAAGUCCUUCCGUGUCGGCGAUAACUCAAUAAGUACCCCGCCUGGGGAGUACGGCCGCAAGGCUGAAACUCAAAGGAAUUGACGGGGGCCCGCACAAGCGGUGGAGCAUGUGGUUUAAUUCGACGCAACGCGAAGAACCUUACCGGGGUUUGAACUGACCUAGACAAUUGCAGAGAUGUAACGUUCUCUUUUUAAGAGACUGGGACAGAGGUGCUGCACGGCUGUCGUCAGCUCGUGUCGUGAGAUGUUGGGUUAAGUCCCGCAACGAGCGCAACCCUUGCCCGGAGUUGCCAUCAGGUUAUGCUGGGCACUCUACGGGGACUGUCGGCGAAAAGCCGGAGGAAGGUGGGGAUGACGUCAAGUCCUCAUGGCCUUUAUGCCCCGGGCUACACACGUGCUACAAUGGGCGGUACAAAGGGCAGCCAACUCGCAAGAGUGAGCGAAUCCCAAAAAGCCGUUCUCAGUUCGGAUUGCAGUCUGCAACUCGACUGCAUGAAGUUGGAAUCGCUAGUAAUCGCGGAUCAGCAUGCCGCGGUGAAUACGUUCCCGGGCCUUGCACACACCGCCCGUC
RNAcentral lists this ribosomal RNA (871 nucleotides) under uncultured bacterium. Its description in RNAcentral is "bacterial SSU rRNA". It matches the Rfam family "Bacterial small subunit ribosomal RNA", at positions 536 to 1398 of the family's 1533-position model. The record is from RNAcentral.